AAAAAAGUGUUAGCAGGUAUUAGAGAGAAAUCUUUUAUAAUUUCUGUUCUUGCUGUAUCUUCAGGGUGAAUAAUACUUUGUAAAAGCUAAAUGGUGUUGAUUGGUUAAAUGAAAUUGAGACAUUAAUCACUAGUGAUUAACACUGGGGAGACCAUACCAGAAUGGAAGCUCAAGCUAAAGGUAGAGAAGACUCACCCCCAACUCUUCAUAACCCUCAGGUGGAAAUGUAGCCUUACUUUGGAGAAUCUAACUCAUCUGCAAGAGUGGGGGUAUAUAAGAUAGGAACAGGCAGAACUUGCGACAUCAACAGUACAGGAAAUUCCCAGAUGAGCAAACUCUCUCUGAUGAUACAAGUGGACUCCUUCCUGCAAAUGAUCAUUGCCCAGAGCUCUGCCUUAAGUGGCUCCUGUGAGGACAAACAGCCAAAAUACGAGAAGCUACGGACUGCAGACUCUCAUAAAUUGGAUCACGGCCACUUUCAGAGAGAUAGGGGAAUGAGUCGCUACUGGAAAAGAAACUCUAUAGAAGAGCUCCCUGCUUCUCCUGGCCAGCCAUUUCUCUCCUCCAGUGCUAUUUCAACCCACCUUUUUGUUUUGCUAGGUGUAGCACACUUCAUGGCACCACAAUACACCAACUGGGAGAACACUUUAGUAGGCAGCUAGGUCGCAGAUUAAAUAGAGCACUGGGACUGGAAUCAGAAAGACCUGAACUCAAAUACAACCUAAGAUAAUUACAAGCUUCCUUGAUAGCAAAGUGUUAUAAUGUCAAAGAGUCAAACACAUACAUCCACAAAGCACCCUGCAGAAAGCAAGGAAACAAACUCCCGGCAAAUGAAGUCAUCACAUAUGAAAACCUCCCUGGAACUGGAAAAUCUCUCUGGAACUGAGUAUGAGGUCUCCAAAUGGAGGGCAGAGUUGUGAAAACUAAACUGCACCAUAGCCCAUGUUCACAUCCAUUAUCCAGGGGACAAAUAAUUUCUUCUUAAGGACAAUAGGUCUUUUGAACUUGGUUGAUAUCACAUCCCAUCAAAUUCAAAGCAAAAUUAUAUGUCAGAGUUGGA
Non-coding RNA from Phascolarctos cinereus (koala), 1060 nucleotides. The record is from RefSeq and is a predicted model, not a curated record. NCBI's taxonomy places the organism in Eukaryota, Metazoa, Chordata, Mammalia, Diprotodontia, Phascolarctidae.